RNAcentral lists this transfer RNA (72 nucleotides) under Camelus bactrianus (Bactrian camel). It matches the Rfam family "tRNA". Rfam says of the family: Transfer RNA (tRNA) molecules are approximately 80 nucleotides in length. RNAcentral also lists the same sequence under 2 other names. Lineage: Eukaryota; Metazoa; Chordata; Mammalia; Artiodactyla; Camelidae. The record is from Rfam by way of RNAcentral.
GAGGGUAGAGCUCAGUGGUAAAGCCUGUGCUCACCAUGCACAAGGUCCUGGGUUCAAUCCCCAAUACCACCC